AUUGAACGCUGGCGGAAUGCUUUACACAUGUAAGUCGAACGGCAGCACGGACUUCGGUCUGGUGGCGAGUGGCGAACGGGUGAGUAACAUAUCGGAACGUAUCCAAUAAUGGGGGAUAACGAGUCGAAAGAUUCGCUAAUACCGCAUACGCCCUACGGGGGAAAGCUGGGGACCUUCGGGCCUGGCGUUAAUGGAGCGGCCGAUAUCUGAUUAGCUAGUUGGUGAGGUAAAGGCUCACCAAGGCGACGAUCAGUAGCUGGUCUGAGAGGACGACCAGCCACACUGGAACUGAGACACGGUCCAGACUCCUACGGGAGGCAGCAGUGGGGAAUUUUGGACAAUGGGCGCAAGCCUGAUCCGGCCAUUCCGCGUGAGUGAAGAAGGCCUUCGGGUUGUAAAGCUCUUUCGCAAGGGAAGAAAACUUAGCCACUAACAUUGGUUGAGGUUGACGGUACCUUGAUAAGAAGCACCGGCUAACUACGUGCCAGCAGCCGCCGUAA
RNAcentral lists this ribosomal RNA (500 nucleotides) under uncultured bacterium. RNAcentral's name for it is "partial 16S ribosomal RNA". It matches the Rfam family "Bacterial small subunit ribosomal RNA", at positions 30 to 523 of the family's 1533-position model. The record is from RNAcentral.